GAGAAACCCAAAAGAUCGAAUGGGGAGAUUCAGCGUCAGCUCAUUUUGUAUAUGUAUAANGUUAUGAUGCGAGUUACUCUGUGUAGUAUUGCUUGUACGUAAUUAUGCAUUUAUUUGCAAGAUGUUGUCGGCGUGCACUUCUCCCCUAGUAGGACGUCGCGACCCGUUGGGUGUCGGUCUACGACCCGAGUGGGAGACUUUAAUGUUUUNAUAAUAUUAAAGACCCUUGGUGUUUUCUGACCGGCUGCCCGGCGGUACUCGUACGGUAUUUAGCCGCAGUUAAUUUNGCGUCCGAGUCCGUUACAGGCUCAUCUAAUCUCUGGCAGUNGCGGACCUAGUGCCGUCGCUGGAGUUAGUAAGCUGUUGUUAUUAGCGGAACUCUUGGACUGGCUAAAAAAUAAUAUUACCGGUCGGCGAUGCUACUGCUUUGGGUACUUUCAGGACCCGUCUUGAAACACGGACCAAGGAGUCUAACAUGUGCGCGAG
Molecule: ribosomal RNA, 486 nt
Filed under: Heterospilus sp. ASDOR204-10
Lineage: Eukaryota; Metazoa; Arthropoda; Insecta; Hymenoptera; Braconidae
Description: eukaryotic LSU rRNA
Source: RNAcentral